RNAcentral lists this long non-coding RNA (951 nucleotides) under Vigna radiata. RNAcentral describes it as "long non-coding RNA (VRAD_LNC002028)". The record is from RNAcentral. Lineage: Eukaryota; Viridiplantae; Streptophyta; Magnoliopsida; Fabales; Fabaceae.
AAAGAAAUAAAAGCAAAAACAAUAAAAUGAAAACAAAAAGUCCAAUAAGAAUAGGAAAGGAAAUGUAACCAGGAAAUUGAUCUCUACCCUUCUGAAGCUGCCUUAAAGGUCCUCCACUGCACCACAAAAUGCUUCCACAGAAAGUUGUUCAUUCAUCUGUGCACGUGCCUCUUUGCCCCACUCCUUUUUUUUCUUUAUUCUCUUCCUUCUCUUUCCGAAAUUGAAUAAUUCUCCCUUUCUUUUUCUUUUCUCUUAUCCUCUCUUCCCGAAGUUCAAUCCCCUCUCCUUUUUCUUGUUUACCAGGUGCAUAUUUAUAUACACACAUUUGUAAUAUUAUUGUGAUCUUGCCUUAAUGGCGAAUUAAUUGUCAAUUAGCAAAAUAGGGAAAUAAAUGGUCUUGAUUGAAGAAAAAUAAAUCAAAUUAAAAUCAUAUUUUUCUCUUUAGGAAGAAAUUGAAUACAACAAUCAAUAUAUUAUUUUUAAUUAUUUCUUGUAAUGAUUGUCAUAAUGUUGAUUCAAAUUAUUACCAAAUAAACCAAAUUUAAAAAAAAAACAAAAAAAUUCUUUAGUGAUAUUUCCUGCAUUAAUAUUAAUUGCUUAUGGGCCUGCUGCACCAUUUUUUCAAGAAAAUCAGGUGGAGCACCUCUCCCAUUUAAUCACCAUUCUUUUCUUUUCAUUUUAUUCACGUGCACCCCCUUUUUUUCUUUUUCCUUCUUUCCUUUUUUCCCUUUUGUUUUUCUUUUUCCUUUUUUCUUCUUUUGUUUUUUUUUUCUUUUUCUCUUUUAUUCUUUUUCUCUUUUUUUUCUUUUUUUUUUUAUCUCUUUUUUCCUCUUCUUCCUUUUUUUUAUUUCUCUUUUUUUCCGUUUUUCAUGUUCUUUUUUUUCUUUUCUUUUUCCUUUUUUUCUUCUUUUUUUUCUUUUAAUUUUUUUUUCUUUUUUUAUUCUUUCUUCG